CGGUCUGUAGCUCAGCUGGUAGAGCACGUGACUCUUAAUCAUGGGGCCCAGGGUUCGAUCCCCUGCAGACCGA
This 73-nucleotide transfer RNA is filed under the name Bacteroidales bacterium. RNAcentral describes it as "tRNA-Lys". It matches the Rfam family "tRNA". From Rfam's summary of the family: Transfer RNA (tRNA) molecules are approximately 80 nucleotides in length. Their secondary structure includes four short double-helical elements and three loops (D, anti-codon, and T loops). The record is from RNAcentral. Lineage: Bacteria; Pseudomonadati; Bacteroidota; Bacteroidia; Bacteroidales.